RNAcentral lists this long non-coding RNA (641 nucleotides) under Musa acuminata (dwarf banana). RNAcentral's name for it is "long non-coding RNA (MACU_LNC005635)". The record is from RNAcentral. Lineage: Eukaryota; Viridiplantae; Streptophyta; Magnoliopsida; Zingiberales; Musaceae.
CUUCGGCCGCCGGCGACUGGAUCCGGAGGAACGUCGUCGCCUACUGGCCCAGCGUCUCCUUUCGAUACAUAGCUGUCGGAAACGAGCUGAUCCCCGGAUCGGAUCUGGCGCAGUACAUCCUCCCCGCCAUGCGCAACAUCUACAAUGCUUUGUCCUCGGCUGGCCUGCAAAACCAGAUCAAGGUCUCGACCGCGGUCGACACGGGCGUCCUCGGCACGUCCUACCCUCCCUCCGCCGGCGCCUUCUCCUCCGCCGCCCAGGCGUACCUGAGCCCCAUCGUGCAGUUCUUGGCGAGUAACGGAGCGCCGCUCCUGGUCAAUGUGUACCCUUAUUUUAGCUACACCGGCAACCCGGGACAGAUCUCGCUGCCCUACGCCCUGUUCACGGCCUCCGGCGUCGUCGUGCAGGAUGGGCGAUUCAGCUAUCAGAACCUGUUCGACGCCAUCGUCGACGCGGUCUUCGCGGCGCUGGAGAGAGUGGGAGGGGCGAACGUGGCGGUGGUGGUGUCGGAGAGCGGGUGGCCGUCGGCGGGCGGAGGAGCCGAAGCGAGCACCAGCAACGCGCGGACGUACAACCAGAACUUGAUCAGGCAUGUUGGCGGAGGAACGCCGAGGAGACCAGGGAAGGAGAUCGAGGCGUAC